This 364-nucleotide unclassified non-coding RNA is filed under the name fungal sp. Its description in RNAcentral is "partial internal transcribed spacer region". The stretch from base 1 to 46 matches the Rfam family "Eukaryotic small subunit ribosomal RNA", at positions 1786 to 1831 of the family's 1831-position model. Lineage: Eukaryota; Fungi. The record is from RNAcentral.
AAGUCGUAACAAGGUUUCCGUAGGUGAACCUGCGGAAGGAUCAUUACAAAUCAGAAAGGUUUGAUGAGAGGGGAGUGUGUGGGUGUGGUGGGGGGGGAGAGUGUAAGGGUGAUGAAUGGGGGGGUGUGUUAAACCAUACCGUGUUAUGCAUAUGCAUAUGCAGUGCUAUGCAAUGCUAUGCUAUGCUAUACCAUACUUUACCCAGCACUUUUACAAUUCUACACCUUACACACUAUCUUAUCAAACAACAUAUGUGCAGAGCAGCAAUGCUCUGAUACAUACAUGUACGCUUGUUGGGUUUGUCAGAGUAAAUGAGAUGAGAUGGGAUGAAAGACAACUUUUAACAAUGGAUCUCUUGGCUCUU